RNAcentral lists this ribosomal RNA (1471 nucleotides) under uncultured Bordetella sp. RNAcentral describes it as "partial 16S-23S ribosomal RNA intergenic spacer". It matches the Rfam family "Bacterial small subunit ribosomal RNA". The record is from RNAcentral. Lineage: Bacteria; Pseudomonadati; Pseudomonadota; Betaproteobacteria; Burkholderiales; Alcaligenaceae.
UUCGAUUAUGGCUCAGAUUGAACGCUGGCGGGAUGCUUUACACAUGCAAGUCGAACGGCAGCACGGACUUGAAGUCUGGUGGCGAGUGGCGAACGGGUGAGUAAUGUAUCGGAACGUGCCUAGUAGCGGGGGAUAACUACGCGAAAGCGUAGCUAAUACCGCAUACGCCCUUCGGGGAAAGCGGGGACCUUCGAGCUCGCACUAUUAAGAGCAGCCGAUAUCGGAUUAGCUAGUUGGUGGAGUAACGGCUCACCAAGGCGACGAUCCGUAGCUGGUUUGAGGACGACCAGCCACACUGGGACUGAGACACGGCCCAGACUCCUACGGAGAACGCUUGAUGGGAAUUUUGGACAAUGGAAACCUGAUCCAGCCAUCCCGCGUGCGAUGAAGACUACUGGGUUGUAAGCCGCUUUUGGCAGGAAAGAAACAGCUGCAGGAUAAUACCCCGUGCAACUGACGGUACCUGCAGAAUAAAGCACCGGUAACUACGUGCCAACAGCCGCGGUAAUACGUAGGGUGCAAGCGUUAAUCGGAAUUACUGGGCGUAAAGCGUGCGCGAAACUGGUUGAAGAAAAGAUGUGAAAUCCCAGAGCUUAACUUUGGAACUGCAUUUUUAACUACCGAGCUAGAGUGUGUCAGAGGGGUGGAAUUCCGCGUGUAGCAGUGAAAUGCGUAGAUAUGCGGAGGAACACCGAUGGCGAAGGCAGCCUCCUGGGAUAACACUGACGCUCAUGCUGAAAGCGUGGGGAGCAAACAGGAUUAGAUACCACAGUAGUCGCCUAAACGAUGUCAACUAGCUGUUGGGACUAGGGCCUUGGUAGCGCAGCUAACGCGUGAAGUUGACCGCCUGGGAAGUACGGUCGCAAGAUUAAAACUCAAAGGAAUUGACGGGGACCCGCACAAGCGGUGGAUGAUGUGGAUUAAUUCGAUGCAACGCGAAAAACCUUACCUACCCUUGACGCGUAUCUGGAAUCCCGAAGAGAUUUGGGAGUGCUCGCAAGAGAACCGGAACACAGGUGCUGCAUGGCUGUCGUCAGCUCGUGUCGUGAGAUGUGGGUUAGAAUCCCGCAACGAGCGCAACCCUUGUCAUUAGUUGCUACGAAAGGGCACUCUAAUGAGACUGCCGGUGACAAACCGGAGGAAGGUGGGGAUGACGUCAAGUCCUCAUGGCCUUAUGGGUAGGGCUUCACACGUCAUACAAUGGUCGGGACAGAGGGUCGCCAACCCGCGAGGAGGCAAUCCCAGAAACCCGAUCGUAGUCCGGAUCUACGCAAGUCUGCAACUCGACUGCGUGAAGUCGGAAUCGCUAGUAAUCGCGGAUCAGCAUGUCGCGGUGAAUACGUUCAAGUCUUGUACCACACCGCCCGUCACACCAUGGGAGUGGGUUUUACCAAGAAGUAGUUAGCCUAACCGUAAGGAGGGCGAUUACCACGGUAGGAUUCAUGACUGGGGUGAAGUGUAACAAAGGUAG